This is a non-coding RNA of Ictidomys tridecemlineatus (thirteen-lined ground squirrel), 2167 nucleotides long. Lineage: Eukaryota; Metazoa; Chordata; Mammalia; Rodentia; Sciuridae. The record is from RefSeq and is a predicted model, not a curated record.
UUUUUUAACAUUUAUUUAUUUUUUCUUAGACACAACAUCUUUGUUUGUAUGUGGUGCUGAGGAUCGAACCUGGGCCGCACGCAUGCCAGGCGAGCGCGCUACCGCUUUAGCCACAUCCCCAGCCCAUCAUGACAACUUCUGCCACUGAGGAUUUAUCACCAUGACAACGCCCAACACAGGUAUCUAUAAUUAGGAGUUUGCUUUUGGUUUCAAAAGAAACUUUGGACUUCAGUUUUUUGAGCAUCCUUUGGGGACUCCAGGAGAUAGACCGGAUGCAUUUUGGGUGAAUGGGCAGGUAAGAAAAUGGGACCGACAUGAAUCUUAGGUGGGUGGAGGCAAAUGCUAUAGAAGGAAUCUCAAGUGUUCUCCUAAGACCCAGGUGUUAAAGGUUUGGUGCCGAGUGGAGCUAGUAGAGCUGAUGGGGGCCUUUAACAGUGGGGCCUAUUGGAGGUCUUUAGGUCAUUGGGGUGGGCCCUUUCAAGCAGUUUUGGGACCCCGACCCCUCUAAUUCUCUUUGGCUUCCUGGACAUGAGGUGAGCAGUUUUAUUCCAACACAUGCUCUUGGCUUUAUGUAUGUGCUUCAUUGCUGCAGAUCCAAAAGCAACAGAACCAAGUAACUGUAGACUGGAAACUUCAAAACUGUGAACCAAAUUCAACCUUUUCUCUUUAUAAGUGGACUGUCUUGGGUAUUUAUAUGUUAUAGUAAAAUAAACCUGACUACACAGUGACCUUCCCAUUUUGGACUGUGGAAUCCUAGUGAAUUUUUCCAGUGUACAUUCCAAAUUUUAUGCCAUGUUCUCAUGACCGUGUUUCUUUCCCCUCUGUUCCAUCUUCUACCGUCUAACAGUAGAAGCUGAGGGUAGAUUCCCUGUAGUAAUGAGUCAGUCCCCUAGUAGCUGAACAACUGACUGUCUAGGCCCAACAGCCUGAGGAAAAACAGCAAAGGGAGCAGAGCUUUAAUUUCCAAGCUUUCACUAAAGGAAAGUAGCAUAUAAAAAAGAGAAAGAGGCUCUUUCUUGUUCAUUUCUCCACCAGCCCUCUUCCAAGCUGUUCGUCUAUUACCAUGAGCCGGUUGUGUUGGGCGUGGGAUGUGAAGACCUGUGCACAAGAGACUUGUGUUUAUCACUUAAGACAAACCAAAGCAAUUUUUUUUUCCCCAAAGGAAAUUUUAUAGAAAUCAGAUAAGAGAAAGCAAACAUACUAUACUCAGGUAGAAAUUAGAGGUCAUUCAGGAUCAACACUUUGGGAGAGGGAAGCAAAAUCACUCAUCAGUUCUACUCAUUUAUCAAAGCAUAGCCACACCAAAGGAUAAGCCACACUCAGAUGGAGUUCUCUUUCUCAACACUGACACCAGGCUGCUAAAACACCUUCUUGUCUUUACUUUGGUUUCCCAGGUAUUUCAAACUUAGGGAGGAGGAACCCUGGAUGGGUAAUACAAAUAUCUCAUCUCUAGAAAAGACUGUGCUCCAUUAUAAGUUGAACUUGCAGUCUGUUGUAAUUACCACUGAAAACCAGGAUGAAACCUUGAAACAGGGAGACCCAGACAAGGCCUCAAAACACCUGGUUUACAGCUCCAGUACUUAUGUAGUCACUCUGUCAUAGCUUUUACAAUCAGAACAUAAUAUCUUCAAAUUCCACCAGAGGAAAUAUUCACUGGUUUUAAAAAAAAAAAAGAUUCUGAUUUUUAGGGUAAUUAAAAUAUGGGGGAAAGGCAUAUUUUAGGAUCAGUGAAAUGUAUUCUACAGAAAAUUAUUCAAAGAAUGUAUUAAAUAUUAUGUGAAUUAAAUUGGCACAUAAUAAUAAUCAGUAGCAUUUCCUUAAAGCUAGUUAUCAUUUUUUUUUCACUUCUCAGUUGAAAUGAAGAAUGGGCUGGCAUUUACUUUUAAUCUAGGAGAUAUUUUGCACAAACUGUAAAAUGUAUUAAUAUUCAAUUUGGAAAUCGUAUGAUUUACAUUUCCAGGGUCUCGGAUAAGGAGGUGUCAUAAAUGAGACUUUCAUUAAGUACCUCAUUUACAGCCAGAAACCAGAGACAAGUCUUGAAUCUAGGUCUGUUGCAACCUUCUCUGUGUUGUGUAUGUGUGUGCUUUUUUUAACAAAUAAAAAAAUCAAGUGAUGCAUUAAUAUUCUUUGGUCUGAAACUACAAAUAAAGAAUUAUUUUUUUCUAAA